GGAAACCUUGUUACGACUUUACUUCCCAUGUAUGGUAUCAGUACAUGGAAUAAAGUCGUAACAAGGUUUCCGUAGGUGAACCUGCGGAAGGAUCAUUAAAAAAUGAGGCCUUUUUGAAAGGUCUAUUAAUAAUCCUACCCUUUGUGAAUUUGUUUGUUUGAAAUAAUUUUUUAAAAUUAUUGAAUGUCUUUCCCUGGUUGUUUGCUUUUGAAGUGAACUCCAGGGAAUGGCAGACGAUAAUAUUUAAAAGACUUUUUUUUAAAAUAAAACUUUUUGUAUUCAUUUGUCUAAAAUUAUUUUUAUAAUAUAAAAACAACUUUUGACAAUGGAUCUCUUGGUUCUCGCAACGAUGAAGAACGCAGCAAAAUGCGAUAAGUAGUGUGAAUUGCAGAAUACGUGAAUCAUCGAAUCUUCGAACGCAUAUUGCACUUUUUUAGUUUACUAAAAAAGUAUGUCUGUUUGAGUAUCAGUAAAAUAUUCUCAUAAAAAAUAUUUUUAUUUUUUAUGGUUAUGAGUGUUUUACAACGAUAAACAAGUUGUUUCACUUUAAAUUCUUUGUCAUCAAAAAAAUCAUUUAAAAACUAAUUUUAAAGAUUUUUUAAAAUUGGAUAAAAUUUUCCCGUAAAAAAGGAAUAACCUAAACAAUUUUAGAAAAUUAAAAUUGGUUUGAUUUUUUCUGGUAAAUAAAGGAAAAAAGUAAAAAUUAACUUGAUCUCAAAUCAGAUAAGAGUACCCGCUGAACUUAAGCAUAUCAAUAAGCGGAGGAAAAGAAACUAACUAGGAUUCCCUCAGUAACGGCGAGUGAAGCGGGAAGAGCUCAAAUUUGAAAUCUUCAAGGUUUUACCUUGACGAAUUGUAGUUUAAAGAAGUGUUUCUGUUGGAAUUUUGGUAAAAGUUCUUUGGAAAAAGACAUCAAAGAGGGUGAGAACUCCGUAUUUGACCAUUAUUUCCAACUUUGUGAUACACUUUCAAAGAGUCGGAUUGUUUGGGAAUGCAGUCCAAAAUGGGUGGUAAAUUUCAUCUAAAGCUAAAUAUUGGCGAGAGACCGAUAGCGAACAAGUACCGUGAGGGAAAGAUGAAAAGAACUUUGAAAAGAGAGUUAAACAGUACGUGAAAUUGUCAAAAGGGAAGCGUUUGACACCAGUGUUGUUUUCUCGAAAAUCAAUUAAAAAAUGUGGAUUUUGUGUUGUAUUGACUUUAUCAGCUUUCUGCACUUUUUCUGUCUUUUUUAAUGCACUUUUCGUUUAACAAGUCAACAUCAAUUUCUUUUGUUGUAAAAGGUCAUUGGAAGGUGGCUUUCUUUUCGGAGAAAGUGUUUAUAGCCUUUGGCUCUGCAAUCGGAGAGAUUGAGGUCUGCAGCGUAGAUCCUUCGGGUUAGAUACAUUUGUGCUAAGCUAUAGCUUUCAUAGACAACUUGUUGACUAUGUUAGUCUUGUAGCUUACUCGCUUAUGUAUUUACCUACGCUUAGGAUGUUGAG
RNAcentral lists this unclassified non-coding RNA (1478 nucleotides) under uncultured Neocallimastigales. RNAcentral describes it as "partial contains small subunit ribosomal RNA, internal transcribed spacer 1, 5.8S ribosomal RNA, internal transcribed spacer 2, and large subunit ribosomal RNA". The stretch from base 710 to 1478 matches the Rfam family "Eukaryotic large subunit ribosomal RNA", at positions 1 to 630 of the family's 3401-position model. The record is from RNAcentral. Lineage: Eukaryota; Fungi; Neocallimastigomycota; Neocallimastigomycetes; Neocallimastigales.